This 524-nucleotide ribosomal RNA is filed under the name uncultured bacterium. Its description in RNAcentral is "bacterial SSU rRNA". It matches the Rfam family "Bacterial small subunit ribosomal RNA", at positions 356 to 896 of the family's 1533-position model. The record is from RNAcentral.
GGGGAAUAUUGCACAAUGGGCGCAAGCCUGAUGCAGCAACGCCGCGUGAAGGAUGAAGGCCUUCGGGUUGUAAACUUCUGUCCUAGGGGAAGAAACAAAUGACAUUACCCUUGGAGGAAGCCCCGGCUAACUACGUGCCAGCAGCCGCGGUAAUACGUAGGGGGCGAGCGUUAUCCGGAAUUAUUGGGCGUAAAGAGUGCGUAGGUGGCACCUUAAGCGCAGGGUUUAAGGCAAUGGCUCAACCAUUGUUCGCCUUGCGAACUGGGGUGCUUGAGUGCAGGAGGGGAAAGUGGAAUUCCUAGUGUAGCGGUGAAAUGCGUAGAUAUUAGGAGGAACACCAGUAGCGAAGGCGACUUUCUGGACUGUUACUGACACUGAGGCACGAAAGCGUGGGGAGCAAACAGGAUUAGAUACCCUGGUAGUCCACGCCGUAAACGAUGAGCACUAGGUGUCGGGGUCGCAAGACUUCGGUGCCGCAGUUAACGCAUUAAGUGCUCCGCCUGGGGAGUACGCACGCAAGUGUA